RNAcentral lists this unclassified non-coding RNA (323 nucleotides) under soil metagenome. Its description in RNAcentral is "partial contains 5.8S ribosomal RNA, internal transcribed spacer 2, and large subunit ribosomal RNA". The stretch from base 1 to 120 matches the Rfam family "5.8S ribosomal RNA", at positions 35 to 154 of the family's 154-position model. The record is from RNAcentral.
GAUGAAGAACGUAGCGAAAUGCGAUAAGUAGUGUGAAUUGCAGAAUUCAGUGAAUCAUCGAAUCUUUGAACGCACAUUGCGCCCCUUGGUAUUCCAUGGGGCAUGCCUGUUCGAGCGUCAUUUGUACCUUCAAGCUUUGCUUGGUGUUGGGUGUUUGUCCUGAGGGACUCGCCUUAAAGUAAUUGGCAGCCAGUGUUUGGUUUUGAAGCGCAGCACAAGUCGCGAUUCAAAGCUAUACGCCCGCUUCCACAAGCCUUUUUCACUUUUGACCUCGGAUCAGGUAGGGAUACCCGCUGAGCUUAAGCAUAUCAAUAAGCGGAGGA